AUAAAUAUAAGACCCUGUCUUAUUUUCAGGGAAACACAGUAUUAAGGAGAGAAAUAAAGGAAUGAUGGAAGUGGGGGGUGAAAUUUUAUAUAAGGCUACCAAGAAAGACCUCUAUGAUACGGUAGUGUUUGAGCUGAGACCUGAAUGAAAGGGUUGUGUGAAUAACAUGAAUGUACAAAGGAAAGCUUUCCAGACCAGGGGCACAGCAGGUGCAAAUGCCCUGAGGCAAGAAUGUUAUUAGGUGUUUGAGGAAGGAUAAGGAGGCCGUUAUACUCAAGACCGAGUGAACAAGGACACAGUGGCAGGAGAAACAAUCAAGGAGUGGGGUGGACAGAUCAUGCAGGUCCCUUACAGGUUAAUUCAGAUUUGGAAUUUUAUUUCGAGUGAGAUGGAAAGCUAUUGGAGAGUCAAAGCAGUGGGCAUAUGUGAUUUGACUAUAGCUUUAAAAGAAUCGCUCUGGUUAGGCUAGGGGCAGUUGUAGUGAGGAAGGAUGGGGCCUGGGGACCACUGAGCGCAGUAAUCCAGGUAUGAGAUGCAGGUGCCUGGAGUUAGGGAGACAGCAGUGGAGACAGUGAGAAGUGGCUGGAUUCUGGCUACAUUUUAAGUUAAAGCUGUGGUCAAAUUAUUCUUUAAGACUUUUACUCAGUAAGAUUCUACCAGAUAUAGAUUAAAGAAGAAUCUCUUUUUUGAGAGGACUCCAUUCUAUCAUAUUUAUACUGGUAAUUAUUCUCACACUUGCUCUCAGGGGAGCUCAUCUGUUAGGAUUAACCCUGGCUCUCAGAGAGGCUUGGGUGACAUGCUUUGUGUCACAAGUCAAGCCAGAUCCCAGAGCUCCAAAGCUACUGUUCCUUCCACUAAAUGUCACAUUUUCUCAGUUUUUUUUCCCUUGCAUAUCCAAGGAGUUUUGAUUUAAAAUAUGUAAAGUAUUUUUAGCAUGAGGAAAAAAUUCUGAAUAUUGACUAAGUAGUUAGCUUCAUAAAAAAUUGUUAGCAUCUUAUUUUCAAAAGAUCAGUGUAGUGAUUUUUAGCAAUGUUUUGAAUUUUGUAUGCUAAAAACAAACAUGCAAUAAUUUAUUUUUGAGCAAUUUUAACAAGCACACUAUAUGGGGAAGUGCUCCCUUUCUCUUAGUGUUGUUUUCUAUGUUGCCUUGUUUUUAAAUAUGUGCAUUUAAAACUUAAGCAUUAUUAAAAGCAUGCCUAAAGAUAUUAUUUAACAAACUAGUUCUAAGAGGAAAGUGUGUGUAUUGUUAGUCCUAACCAUUCACAUAUUUGUUUAUUCUGAAAACUAACCAAUGACUUAAGUUUUUUAUUCUGAAAUAUUUUUUAAUCAAAUAUGCAUUUACAGUACUAUAAAAUACUAACCAAACAGCUAACAAGAUUUAUCAGAAUGAUAGUAUUGUGCUACAUAAUGCUUUUUAUAUUGAAAUAUUUGAGUUCUAACCCAUUCGAUUCUUCUUGUUCUUGAAUAAGAAUAUAAGGUUUCUUGGAAAUUCUUAGCUGCUUUUAUAUUUGGAAGUUAGAACAUGAUGCAAAUGCCCUCAUUUUAAUCGGGAAACAUGGACAGUGACAUUAAAAAAUUCUUCCUCCUCAUACUCAUGAUUCAUUUCCACUAGACCCACACCUGUCUCAAAUAGACUCUCAGACUCUUGAGUAAGGCAUUCAUUUCUUUCUUUUCCCUGCCUCCUUCCUCUGGAAACUCAGAGAAUUUAAUGUAUUGUGCUUUUAUUGACAACCCCUGAAAUGCUUGAUAUUCUGGCUAAGAGGUAGGAAGAAUACAGAGAAUUGAACACAGUCCUUGCUUUCUGUGGGCUUGACUCCUAAAUAAUCAUUUAAGUUCGAUGAUCUGAGUAAGGAGAAGCCUUCCAUUAGCCUUGCAAGGAUAAAUAAUUGAUAAACUGGUGACUCUUACCAAUUGCUUAUUCUUUAAGAAAAGAGAGAGAGACAGAGAGAGCAUUUUUCAAAUGUCCAAAGAGAAUUUUUAACCUUUUUUCUGUCCCAUCAAAGAUGAGAUCUGUCAUCUCUUUUAAGGUAUUUUAUCUUAGAUCCUUCUUUUCAUUCCAAUUCCCAGUGUCGUGCUAAUCCUUGCUCACAGGGGAAUUUGCAAAUGUAAGUAUGGGAGAUGGAAGAGUAUAAGAAAUAGGAAACAUCCACUUUUGUCUAUGCAGAACUAUUCAUAUUUACUGGAUUAAGUACAUAUUAAAAUACAGAAAUUAACAGUCACUGUUUAAGCAUGUACAGUCACUAAAGGCAAGCGAGAUGGCUCUGUGUAUCAACCCGGAAUAACCUCAUUGGUCAAAUGUCGUCUAAGCUCUCCUCCAAUGAAAACACAGCUCAUCGUUCAUGUUCCCUUGCAAAUAUGAAGGGGAGUGAUUUUUCUUGUUUCAGAAGAUGCUAUAAUGGUUGCAUGUAGAAUUGCUAAAAGGAGGAUAGAGUAAUUUAUCCUGUCAGAGUUAUUGAUACUCAAGUCUAUCUUUUGGAAAAUUGGAUUUAUUGACAGUUAGGCAUGCUUAAAUCCUGAUUGCAAAUUUUAGAUGUUUUCAAAAGAUUAUGCAAGAGUAGAAAUUGGAGUGUGUUAUCCUUUGUCUUCUGUUUGGUGCUGUGCUGUUCUGCUUCCAGUGAGGGUAGUAACUAUGAUGAGAGAGUAUAAUGAAAUGGUUAUUUGGUUGUUUUGUUAGUUCCAGGGUCCAGAAUUUUCUAAUCCCAUUAACAAUAAAUACUCUACCCCCUCAAAACCACAAAUAUCUCAAAUAUUUAAGUUCACUAAGCUUAUAAUUAGCCUAAGAAAUAUUUUCUCAUAGAGCUUCAAGGCAAUAACCAGAUAAUUCUUGAAAUUAUAGAUGGAAAUCAAGUAACCUAAUAUAAAAAUAAAGAAGUUCUCCCUUUAUGAUAUAUUGACCACAAAUUUUAUAAUCCACAGUGUUAACUUUGUAAGAACUAAUUAUUUUAAAACAUACAUCAUUCCAUUAUGUAUAAUGAAAAUUGUAUAUUGUGCUGAAAGAAAAACAAAUAAGUGUUGAGUGGUUUUGCAUAAUGAACAUUGUUAAAAUAAGCUUUAUUAUCUGAAAUUAUAGAACUUAAACUUGUAUAGCAAGUCUGGCUUGAUUGCUGUUUGCUGCUAUAGAAUAUACAAGAAAAAGAGCAAAAUAUACUAAAAAGAAAAGACAAUCUGUGUUUUUCUAUUCCAUAAAUCUUUCUUCCCAGAUAUUUCAUCAAUGGCUAUUGGUUCUAUUUCCUUCCCAUGAAAUGUGGAAGCCAAUGAAGACGUAGGAUCUGCCAAAAAGGGGCACCCAUCCUGUUUGUAAUGAAUAUAGAAUACUCAUUUGUAGAGUGAAGAAACAACAGAUACAGGCAGAGCUGACUUGUGUUCUAUUCUCUAUAUACAAUCUGACAUGAGUAUUUAUCACACUUUGAUAGAAGUAACUGAGAACUUUAGAAAUAUUUUGUCCGUUGCAGAAUAGGAAUGUAGAAUUGAGCAAUGUCAAUUUCCAAAAGUUUCAUACACAUUAUUCUAAUUUUCUUCCAUAGGAGAAGUUAUGUAUAAUAUUUAAGAUUUUGAUAAACCCUUCAUCUGGAAGCAAGUAAAAUUCAACAUGUAAAGGUGGGAAAGGAGGAAGAAAAAAGGAAGCUUGCUGGAGGGCAGUAAUAGAUCACGACCUAGCUUUGAUGAGAUCUUGGAAAAGUUACCAACAAGUCCAUGAAGGAAACCGAAGGCAAAUAGAUGAGGAAACAUGUCAUGUCUCCAAAGAAUAGCAGAGAGCUUGCUUAGUUGCUUGCCCUAAAAUCAAGGCAUGGUGAAGAUGCACUCAUAUGCUAAUGGCCAUGCGAAUUAUAUUGAACGACUCUGGGAGAAAAACCCAAUCUCCAGUUAAAAGUGAAGGGUGCACAUGGGUUACCCAAUGUGUGAGUCACCGAGAAGUGCAAUGCUGCGCGAUGACUGGUGAGUCGCAGGCUCUGAAGGACGUUUCCUGAGAUUCUCACACAGAUGGCUGCUGAAAACCAUAAGUGAGAGGGAGGAGGAGGAGGAGGCGAAGGAGGAGGAAAAGAAGGGAAGGAAAAAAUAAAUGUGUGGGGGGCAGGGGGCUCUCUGUAAGCAGCUUUUAUUGUUCUUUAAUUUCUUGACUACUGAACCAAGUACUUACAGAAAUCCUACAACUCUUUUCUGCAAUUGCCAUGGGAUGUACACAGUCUUAAAAAUUCUAAAAUUGAUCACAUUCAAUUUAGAAUCUUCCUUUUAACUCUUACGCCGUAUACACUGCCAGGUGAUUGAGAAGGAAGUUUCCGUGGUGUCUAUCUGACGCUGCCUGCCACUGUGUGAGGAGCCGCAUGAGAACACGGAGCACAUGCCUUAUAGUCUAUCCUGUACAGGUCAGAAAGCAGAAAGGAGGAAUGUUGUUUUUACAUCUUUGCAACUCAUUCCCAUAACUUUUUAAAGCGCUGUCUCUUCCUUCUCUGCCUUGCCUUGUAGAAUUCAUGCCAAAGAAAGUAUUUUAAAAUAAGAAACUGAUUAAUUUUUACUGUAGCCCAUGCUGUAGAUGUGUCACUGAUCUAUGAAAUAUAUACAACUCUGGUAACUCUGCACAGAAACUGUGGAUUCUUUCUGCCACCCACAGAAUAGGGUCCAAACUCCUUACCACGGUGUUGAAGAUCUUUUAUAUGCUGAGCCUGGAAAACAUAGUACCUUCAAACAUGCUCCUUUCCUCUCGUCUAAGUAAGUUUUCCAGACGCAUCGGUCUAAUACUUAUGUGCUCUUUCCCUAACACAUGGACUUUUAGGCCCAGUUGGCUUCUCUUUAUAACCCUUUUUCCUGGAAUGCCUCUGUCUGUUUCUCUUCAGAGAUAAUUUCUGCUCAUCUCCUCAGUAGAUAAGAACUGUUCAGAACUUUCCAAAGUAUUUCCAGGAACUUAAUACUUAGAGAAAACAUACCAGGAGAAACAGUGGAAUAUUUAGGGGUUAUCUAGCCCGACCUUUUCACUUUGUAGCUAAGGAAACUGAGGCACAGAGAGAGGAGACUGCCCAAAGUCGCAGGGUAAUACCGGACAGGCCAAGACUAAGUCUCGGUCUCUUGCCAGUCUCUGCAGUGCUGACCACGACAGCCUGUGAUUCAGACGACUCCGGACUUAACCUUGGAAAAUGUGUUAGCCUUUCUGAGUCUAAAUGAAAGUUGGGAAUGUAAACAGGUAACCAGAAUAGCUCCUUUUUUUCUCCUUCUGUUCAUAGUCUUUUCUGAUUUCCAGUUCAGCUACUGCGUCUACACAUUGUGUGUUCUUACUUUUAUAGAGAACUGGGAGCUGCUGUAGCAGCAGAGAAUAGUGAUUAGAACACAGACUGUACAGUUAGAUUGUUUUUAAAUUUUUUUUUUUUUUUUUUGGUUCAAAUCUUACACCCACUACUUACUACCUGGAUAUUUAAAUGUUGUGCCUCGAUUUUCUCAUUUGUCAACUGAGAAUAAUUUAUUUAAUGCAUUCAAACAUACUUAUUCAGAGAUUUCUGUUCUUGGCUGUAAGGAUACAGUAGUAAACCACACAAAUAAAAUCCCUGCUUCAUUCUAGUGGUCAGGGACAGAUUAACUAAUGAUACCAGUCUUUUCCUGAUUGCAGCCCUUAGUGUGUGUUCCGCCUUUCUGGAAUUUUCUUCCUAGACAUGUUUGAAGAGUUCACUCCCUCUCAUCCUUUGAAUUCUUAUUUAAAAGUCGUCUUCACUGGCUACCUACUUUAAAUUUCAAUCCCACCCUUCUCGCAGUUCAUAGUCCUUUUCCUGCUCUAUUAUUUUUUCAUCAUCAGUCUUUAUUACUGUCCAACACACCACAUAUGUUUUCUUAUUUGUCUCGUUUAUGUGUCACUGUUCUCACUAACAUGUAAACUUCAGGAGGGCUGGGACAUUUUUCUAUUCUGCUCUCUAUUAUAUCCCAAGAUCUGAGAACAGUACCUGGCAUGUAGCAGGUGUUUGUUACCUAUUUCCUAAAGGACUGUGUUAAUAUCUAGUUUAAGGUCCUAUGGUGAUAUUUGCAAUUAAGCAAAAAUAAAACAGAGUAAGUGGUCAAGGAUAGUGACUAGGGUGCUGUUUUACAUAGCAUGGUGAGGGAAACCUCUUUAAGAAGGAAAAUGUUGACUAGAGACAUGAAUGAAGUGAGCAAAAUGCGUCACGGUGCAUUCCAGACAGAGAAAACAGCAUGUGCAAAGGCCCUGAGGCACAUUCAUACUUGGCAGGUUCUGCUAAUGGCAAGGAAGCACUUGUGACUGGAGCAAAGUGAAUGAAGAGAGGAGAGAUAGGAAAGGAAUGAGAGAAAGAGUUCAGAUCAUUCAUGUAAGCCCUGGUGAGGACUUUGGAUUUCCUAAUGUGACUAUCUACCAAAUUGAGGUGUUUAGAGGCAUUGAAGAGAGAGCAUGUGGCAGAAUAUCAGACAUGUGCACAAGUAUUCAGUGGAAACUAUUUAUUAUAUACCAUAGGUCAAUUCAUAAUGAUAAGAUACAAAUAAGGACAAUGAAAAAACUAAAAGAGAAAUUAACACAAUUUCCUUCCCUAUCCAUAUGCUUUAUGAUAACAACAAAAACACACAUAGAAGUUAGAAAGAGACCUGUGGAAAGUUUUACUUAAGAAAGUAUGUAAAGACUAAGAAAAAGAUGGAUUAUAGUCUUAUUUUUUAAAAGGCUUAUCACACGAAGCAGUCCCACUUGAAACCUGAAAUAUUUUAGUCCUAAUCUGUGCUAUGAAUUUUUCUGCACUCAUAGUAUAGUCUUAUAAUAUAUGGCUGAAUUUUAUGAAAUAAUCAGUCAAUGAAAUAACAAUAGUUUCCUGCCACAGAAUGUAUUUAUUUCAAGCUACUGUUUGAUCUCACAAACACAUCACAACAUUUCUAGCCAGGUCAUUUGACCUCUUAAAAAUAUACCCCCAUGGAGGAAAUUAUCUAUUAUUGUUGAUAGUCACAAUCUUAAUUUGUCAUAUGUUUAUAUCUAUUCUAAGCAAGAAAGGGGAUGGUAAUAUUAAAGAUUGUGCUUUAUUAUAUAGUUUAUCAAUUGUGGUUUUCUAUUAUUUAUUUUCUACAUUCAGCACAUUCUCUGGAAUUUUCAAUAAAUGCAACGGCAUGUUCGAAGAGAAAACUUUCAAAUUCCCUGGCACUGCUGAGGUGAUCACCUCACUGUUGAGGUGAGAACCAUUUCAGUGUAACAGGAGGGACUCCCCUUCAACCUUGCCAGAGAAAGAGCAAAGUGUGUUCUUAAAAGACUCAGAAUGUGUCUGGGAGUUUUCAAACGAGAGGCCAUGCUUAUGUUUCAUCAUUCAGUUCAAUUCUUUGUGUAACAGUGAACAUCUAACACAUUUAAUAGAUUUUAUUUGUCAAGUUAAAAAGCACAUUAGUCCCAAAAAGAGUUAUAGAAAUUGAUUGAAAAAAAAAUUCACACAGCGUUGGUGGAAUAUGUAGGCUUUUAAUUAUUUUCCUUGUCCAAAGGGCACACUGACUGGGCAGACUGCCUCUUACACAUUAUAAAUUAAUCCCAUUCGUUCCCAAAACUUGUCCAUUAUUUCACUACUUUGAAAUUUGGCCGCCCUAAUUAAUCGCUGCUCUAUAAUUCAGGCGCUGGGGCCUGCGCGAGGGCCGCGUGUUUUCCAGCUGUGACCACGUGUCCAGCAAAUGCCCAGCGCAGCGGACCAUGGCCCUUCAGGCUCUCCUGCACCCAGGCGUCCGCGAGACGACUUUCUGUCCCUGGUCUAUGGGCUGAGCCCUCCUUGGGAGCAAUGCGGGUCGGGGACAAUGCCCAGCCUAGUGCAGGUGACUUGCCCUGGCCGUUGGCUGUGUCACCGAAAACUGUCACCGUAGCACUGCAAAUUGCUGAGAGCCCCUCGGAAUAUCCCCCAGGAGAAACAAGCCCACCCCAGACCGCCUCUCUGGGUUACACCUGCUUUCUAAAAUCCCAGCACCGUGCCGAGUGCUGUGCCCAGGGGCCCUGAUUCUGCUUCCUCCCAAGGCAAAGAAGCCUGAAGCUAAAGCACCCUGGCGGACGAGCACGCCAGCCCAGGCCUCCCGGCUAAUUAAAAGCAACAAACAGGGCCAGCGGCUGCCAUCCUGCAAUUGCUGCCAGUUCUCCUGCUCCAGUGUGGCUGUUCUGUGCUUCCCAUGCAUGGGAAAUGGCUCCUACCUUGGCUUAUUCUUCACCUAGAAAGAAAAAAAUGUAUUCUAUCUCAACUUUUCUAAUUAUUUUCCUUUUACUUCAUAUGGUGAUACAGGGAAAUUACAAGGAAUUGUGCAUUUAAAAAAGAAAACAUAUAAACCAACCAACCAACCAACCAACCAACCAACCAACAAACAAACAAAAAAACCCUACUUGUCACCUAGAACUUCAUUUAUUUCAGAGAAAUCUAUGGCCUAAAUCGUCUCAUCAAAAGAUAACAAAAUAGAAUGAUUCUUUCAUUGCAGUGGCAAGCACAGGGCCCGCACUGUGGCGCAGAUGUGGACAGGGGGCCAGGCCCUGUUCAAAAUAUGUUAAGUAUCUUCUCACAUAAAUCCAACAGAACCUGAACUUUGUUACAUUUGUUUAGGGUAUCAAUUCAAUAACGGGAAGAUACUGAAAAAAUGCAAUUUUAAGAUCUGACGUAUACUUCUACAGGUAAAUCUUUCUUCUAUAGCCACAUCUUGUUUUGCCCUCAUCCAUUUCAAAUAUUGAAAAAUAAGCUAUUUCUUUGAAGAAGAAGAAGGAAAGAGGAGGAAGGAAGAAAAAUAGCCAGAGAUUUAAGAGUUAAUAAGCUUUUUAAAUUGCAAAGUAUAAAGCUUUCAAUACAUUGUCCCAGAGAAAAAUAACAAAGAAAAAAUCUAUUAAGCAUUCUUGCUCUUCAGAAAAAAAAUGAUUGGACAUUUAUGUUUUAUGACAUUUUUAGAUCAAAUGUAUUUGCCGGUGGCUCUGUGGGGGAUGGGAGGGAAGGGCUGGGUGGAGAUGUUCGCUUUCCCUGUGUGCUAGUAUGACACUGAUCUUACAGACCUAGGAAUUUUAGACUCCUGAAUGGAUUUGUUAAAAAAACAAAAAAAAUGAAAGAGAGAAAAAUAAUUAGGGCAGUAAGUAUGUAUUGUCAUGAAACAUGGUGUGUAUAUUGUCAUGUAUCGUUACAUUGUUGCAAUGAAAUAUUAUAAAACUCUAGGUAUUAUCUCUGAACUGAAGCAAAAUAAAAACAAACUCAUAAAAUGAAUAAAAAAAUAGAACAACAGAGCAAUAAUUACAGUCUUAAGUGUUGGGAAGAGACUUUCAGCUCGACCCACGACAUUCCCCGAGCACCUGACAGAGGAGGAAAUGGUUAUUUGACAAGACCCCUGAUCACGCACUAACUCCUUGCUCUGUCUUUACAUUUUUAUAGUAUUUCACGCAAGUCACUUACAUUUUCUAAGUCAUCAUUUCCUCUUUUACAAAAUAAAGUGACUCAAUUAGAUUGAGUGGUGAAAAUCCAAAAAAAAAAAACAACUAGAAAUUUGAGUACUAAUAUAUUGUGAUAGGAAGUAUCAUCUUAGGUAGAAUAUGUUUUAUAAUAAAAUGAAUAGAAUUAGUUUGAAUAACUUUUCACCAUUACUUGAUGAGAUAAUUAUUAUUUUAGAGUUACUUCUUAAGAUUUCCUUUUAUCAGACAGUGUGUAUAUUUGUGUUUUUAACUAAAUGAGAAAAAAAUCCAAAUUUAUACUCAUUUUCAGCUAAUAAUCUAUAAUCAAAGCCGUGCCUAAAGUAUAGCACAGCCUUUAUUAGGUAUCUACCCCUCAUGUUGACAUUCUAUGAAAUUAAAACAUAGACUUGUAUAAUUUUCAGUUUCACAAAAAAAAACAAAAAGAAGCAAUUUUAAAAGAUUUUUGUUUGUUUGUUUCCUGUUUUCUUAAAAUAAAGCUGCUGUUGAAUAGUAUGUAUUUGACUAUAAAUGCAACCUGUUAGCUGAUUGGGCAUCUAUUUACUAUCUAACUGUCCAAAUAUAAAACUCUGUAAGAGUAUAGGAAUAAUGCAAAAGAGUUGAUUCUAACUCAGCUCAGGUAUAGAAACUCAAAAAGGGCCAUUGUUGAAAUCAAAGAACAAAAGAAAGAUUCCAUUCAAUAACUGCAUCUCCAUUCACUGGUAAAUAUUCUCUCGACUAAUGCAGGAAAUGAAUCUCAGGAAAGAUAAAGGUGGUUCAGGUGGUUCCAAAUCAGUCUCCCUUCAUCCCUCAUGUCCCUCGAUGUGUACGGGCUUCUCCCUGCUGCCUGUAACCAUGGCCAUCUGUCAUGGUGGCUCCACGCCCGCCCGUUCAGAA
Molecule: non-coding RNA, 10249 nt
Organism: Microcebus murinus (gray mouse lemur)
Lineage: Eukaryota; Metazoa; Chordata; Mammalia; Primates; Cheirogaleidae
Source: RefSeq, a predicted model, not a curated record